Long non-coding RNA from Etheostoma spectabile (orangethroat darter), 265 nucleotides. RefSeq lists it as uncharacterized. The record is from RefSeq and is a predicted model, not a curated record. Lineage: Eukaryota; Metazoa; Chordata; Actinopteri; Perciformes; Percidae. The transcript has 3 exons.
GGUUGGAGUCCCCCAAAAAGAGGGUCCGCUUCCCCACCUCCAGCGACCAGUCCUGUAUCUUUCUAAAAGUGCGUGGGUGUGUGUGUGGUUCCGGGCGCCCUAGGGAGCCAGGUGCCGCUGCAGAGGCCCUGUUUGGGGUAGAGGUGGAUAACUCAGAUGUUUGGGGUGUAAUCAGCUUUUCGCUUUUCAUUUGUCCCUUUCUCAUCAUAAACCGGACAAAUGACUCUGCAGUAGGCACAGGUAUUAAUUGGCUCCAGCUCUGAUC